AGAGUUUGAUCCUGGCUCAGAUUGAAUGCUGGCGGCAUGCCUAACACAUGCAAGUCGAACGGAAACGACGAAAACAAUCCCUUCGGGGUGCGUCUUCGGGCGUCGAGUGGCGGACGGGUGCGUAACGCGUAGGAAUCUACCUUAUAGUGGGGGACAACUCGAGGAAACUCGAGCUAAUAUCGUAUAAUUUUUACGAGGGAAAGCAGGGGAUCUUCGGACCUUGUGCUAUUAGAUGAGCCUGCGUCGGAUUAGCUUGUUGGUAGGGUAAUGGCCUACCAAGGCAACGAUCCGUAGCUGGUCUGAGAGGACGACCAGCUACACUGGGAUUGAGACACGGCCCAGACUCCUACGGGAGGCAGCAGUGGGGAAUAUUGGACAAUGGGCGUAAGCCUGAUCCAGUAAUGCCGCGUGUGUGAAGAAGGCCUUAGGGUUGUAAAGCACUUUCAGUAGGGAAGAAAUGCGUGUAGCUAAUAACUGCGCGUCUUGAUGGUACCUACAGAAGAAGCACCGGCUAACUCCGUGCCAGCAGCCGCGGUAAUACGGAGGGUGUAAGCGUUAAUCGGAAUUACUGGGCGUAAAGCGCGCGUAGGCGGUUAUAUAAGUCGGAUGUGAAAGCCCUGGGUUUAACCUGGGAAUUGCAUUCGAUACUGUAUAACUAGAGUUUGGUAGAGGGAAGUGGAAUUCCACAUGUAGCGGUGAAAUGCGUAGAUAUGUGGAGGAACACCAGUGGCGAAGGCGACUUCCUGGACCAAAACUGACGCUGAGGUGCGAAAGCGUGGGUAGCAAACAGGAUUAGAUAUCCUGGUAGUCCACGCCGUAAACUAUGUCAACUAGCCGUUGGGGGAAUUUGUCCCUUAGUGGCGCAGCUAACGCGAUAAGUUGACCGCCUGGGGAGUAUGGUCGCAAGAUUAAAACUCAAAGGAAUUGACGGGGGCCCGCACAAGCGGUGGAGCAUGUGGUUUAAUUCGAUGCAAUGUGAAGAAUUUUACCAGCCCUUGACAUCCUCGGAAUUUAUUAGAGAUAGUUUGGUGCCUUCGGGAACCGAGUGACAGGUGCUGCAUGGCUGUCGUCAGCUCGUGUUGUGAGAUGUUGGGUUAAGUUCUGUAACGAGCGCAACCCCUAUCCUUAGUUGCCAGCACGUAAUGGUGGGAAUUCUAGGGAGACUGCCGGUGAUAAACCGGAGGAAGGUGGGGAUGACGUCAAGUCAUUAUGGCCCUUAUGGGCUGGGCUAUAUAUGUGCUACAAUGGCUGGUACAAGGGUUGCCAACCCGCGAGGGGGAGUUAAUUUCAGAAAGCCGGUCGUAGUCCGGAUUGGAGUCUGCAAUUUGACUCCAUGAAGUCGGAAUCGCUAGUAAUCGCGGAUUAGAAUGCCGCGGUGAAUACGUUCCCGGGCCUUGUACACACCGCCCGUCAUAUUAUGGGAGUGGGUUGCACCAGAAGUAGUUAGCCUAACCUUCGGGAGGGCGAUUACCACGGUGUGAUUCAUGACUGGGGUGAAGUCGUAACAAGGUA
RNAcentral lists this ribosomal RNA (1512 nucleotides) under metagenome. RNAcentral describes it as "bacterial SSU rRNA". It matches the Rfam family "Bacterial small subunit ribosomal RNA". The record is from RNAcentral.